This 76-nucleotide transfer RNA is filed under the name uncultured Marinobacter sp. RNAcentral's name for it is "tRNA-Ala". It matches the Rfam family "tRNA". From Rfam's summary of the family: Transfer RNA (tRNA) molecules are approximately 80 nucleotides in length. Lineage: Bacteria; Pseudomonadati; Pseudomonadota; Gammaproteobacteria; Pseudomonadales; Marinobacteraceae. The record is from RNAcentral.
GGCCAUAGCUCAGCUGGGAGAGCGCCUGCCUUGCACGCAGGAGGUCGGCGGGUUCGAUCCCGCCUGGCUCCACCAA